RNAcentral lists this transfer RNA (67 nucleotides) under Ictidomys tridecemlineatus (thirteen-lined ground squirrel). Its description in RNAcentral is "Spermophilus tridecemlineatus (thirteen-lined ground squirrel) tRNA". It matches the Rfam family "tRNA". Rfam says of the family: Transfer RNA (tRNA) molecules are approximately 80 nucleotides in length. Lineage: Eukaryota; Metazoa; Chordata; Mammalia; Rodentia; Sciuridae. The record is from Rfam by way of RNAcentral.
GGUUGUGGCUCAUUGGUAGAGUGCUUGCCUGGCAUGCAUGAGGCACUGGGUUCAAUACUCAGCACCA